AACUUUCAGCAACGGAUCUCUUGGUUCUGGCAUCGAUGAAGAAAGCAGCGAAAUGCGAUAAGUAAUGUGAAUUGCAGAAUUCAGUGAAUCAUCGAAUCUUUGAACGCACAUUGCGCCCCUUGGUAUUCCGAGGGGCAUGCCUGUUCGAGCGUCACUUAUACCAACUCCUCUUAUAGAGGGUCUUGGACUUCGCCUCUAGGCGGGUCUCAAAAUCAGUGGCGGUGCCAUGAGGCUCUACGCGUAGUAAUACACCCCGCGAUAGAACCCUUAGGGUAUCUUGCCAGCAACCCCCAACUUCUUAGGUUGACCUCGGAUCAGGUAGGGAUACCCGCUGAACUUAAGCAUAUCAAUAAGCGGAGGCU
This 362-nucleotide unclassified non-coding RNA is filed under the name uncultured Hymenoscyphus. Its description in RNAcentral is "sequence contains ITS2". The stretch from base 1 to 154 matches the Rfam family "5.8S ribosomal RNA". The record is from RNAcentral. Lineage: Eukaryota; Fungi; Ascomycota; Leotiomycetes; Helotiales; Helotiaceae.